GGGCUACCCACUUCAGGUCCCCUCUUGUGUCAAGAGCUGUUCUGUUGUCUCUUCUCUGCCUUGCUUAUUCUCCAGUUGUCCAUGUAACCUCAUUCUUCUUGGACAUGGGACAAGAACCCAGUACCCACCAAAUGGCAGGUGCAAAAAAUGCUGUAACACUGUAGCCCUCCAACCCUCUGCUGGCACCAGGCUGUUGCUUCAUGUAACAGGAAGCAGUGGCAAUGGGGCCAGGCCAGCCAAGAAGCUAUGAGCUGGAAUGUGGGCAGCAGGACUGAACAAGCUGUAAAACAAAUGAGCUGAAACUUGCUGCCCUCCCACCCCCAUUCACUGUGCUGCAGGCAGUGGAAAGAAGAGAGAGAUGUAUCACUCCUUGAGGGCUCAGACCUCAGGACUCCCCAAGCAACUGUAACACCCCUUGGGCUCCACAGUUGCUGGCAUCUCUGAGUUUUCAGAAGCCACUGCAGCCUCCUUGUCCAGACACUGGCACCCAAGCAGAAAUGAUUCAAGACAGCACACCCGGACCAGUCAUGGACUGAGCACAGAGUUGGCAGGCACUGGAUCCAGGCCCAUAGCACAAGCUGAGUGCAAUCACUGGGCUGAGUGAGAGGAGUAAGCCUAGCAGAAAACCCAGUGCCAAGCAAAGCCUGAGCAAAGGCACCACUAGCCACAGAGCUUUCCUGCUGGCAAAGGAGCACCAAAAGAAUCCUGUGUCAUUUCUGGGGGUCAUCUGAGAUCUGCAAAAGGGUCACUAAAGGCAUCUAAGUGUCUUGGUUGAUUCUUCUGAACUAAGCCACUUAGUUCAUUGAGUCUCUCCUUUCUGCAGAAUAUGAAAAUAGAUGCAAUUUAAGUUGGGAAAAGUCAAAGGUGACAUUAAAAAAUAUUUCACAACUAGCUGAAUUUGUGUGCAGCACAUUGUUGCUCCAGCUUAAAAACCUCCUGUGUGGUAAAUGCUUGGCAGCCCUGGGGAAGGCAAUGAACACGGUGAAAUUCAGUGCAGUGUGGUAAGACAAGGAGAGCAUGAAUAAUAUUUGGAGAUCUAGCACACCUUAGUGGAAACAAUUAUUAUUACAACUGCUUUGAAGACAUUUGAAUUUUAAACUCCAUUGUUUGUGAAAUUCUAUUUUGACUAAAUAGAGGGACUUUGUUCAGGCUUUUGUUGUCUUUAGCAUGAUGUGUUUCUUUCCUAAACUCCACACAGAUAAGAAGAUAAAUUUGAUCAUGAAUUUCUAAAAGUAGAAAUCAUAGGUUUUUUAGAAUUAGCAUAAAAUUAUUGUACAACCCUCCAUGGGCUAUCAAAUUGGGAGCAAUCCAAUUUUAUUUGCCAUCAUGGUCACAUAUAAAGUGUCAGAUUAUUCUUGUUAGAUGAUUAUUGUACAUUUAACUUAGAAAAGCUUCUCAGGUCUGCUCCUGAGAUGCUUGAAAGACUUUUGGUUUAAAUAGGUUGCAUAUGUUCUGCUGUUAAUGGCUGACCGUUUUUAUUUCAUAUUACUAAAAUGUAAUCAAGAAAAAGAGAGUAGAAAAUACAUCGCAAAUAUUCAGUCUACUAUCUAGACAAUUUCAAAAGCUUUCAAUUUUAUCUCCUGUUCCAUUAUCUUCAAUUGUAGAGUUUGGAUAGGAAAAGAAUUCAAAAAUAAAUACAAAACAUUCAUUCCAAUACAUGAAGAAAAUUAGCCCUGUUCAUGUACAUUUUCUAAUAUGGAUAUGUUUCUAAAAAUCAGAAUAUAAUAUUUAUGGAGUCAUUAGUAAAAUGCACUUGAUUAUCUAAGAAUCUCAACUGCUUGAUGCUUGAUCAAAAACUAGGUAGAAACUAAAUCAUGCCUAUCAACAAUUAAAUAUUUCUGAAAAGGGGACUUCCAAAAUGGUAGAAUAAGAAGCUCAGCAAAUACUUUCCCUAAAAAGUGACAACAGGGGUGGAGCCAAGAUGGCUGAAUAGGAAUAGCUCCAGUCUAUAGCUCCCAGUGUGAGCGACACAGAAGAUGGGUGAUUUCUGCAUUUCCAACUGAGGUACUGGGUUCAUCUCACUGGGGAGUGUCAGACAGUGGGUGCAGGACAAUGGAAGCAGUGCACUGAGUGUGAGCCAAAGCAGGGCAAGGCAUCACCUCACCCGGGAAGCACAAGGGGUCAGAGAAUUCCCUUUCCUAGUCAAAGAAAGGGGUGACAGAUGGCACCUGGAAAAUCAGGUCACUCCCACCCUAAUACCGCACCUUUCCAAUGGUCUUAGCAAAUGGCACACCAGGAGAUUAUAUCCCACGCAUGGCUUGGAGGGUCCUAUGCCCAUGGAGCCUCACUCAUUGCUAGCACAGCAGGCUGAGAUCAAACUGCAAGGUGGCAGUGAGGCUGGGGGAGGGGAGCCCACCAUUGCUGAGGCUUGAGUAAGUAAACAAAGUGGCUGGAAAGCUCGAACUGGGUGGAGCCCACCGCAGCUCAAGCAGGCCUGCCUGCCUCUGUAGACUCCACCUCUGGGGGCAGGGCAUAGCCAAACAAAAGGCAGCAGAAACCUCUGCAGACCUUAAUGUCCCUGUCUGACAGCUUUGAAGAGAGU
Molecule: long non-coding RNA, 2542 nt
Filed under: Homo sapiens (human)
Lineage: Eukaryota; Metazoa; Chordata; Mammalia; Primates; Hominidae
Description: HSALNT0271431
Source: RNAcentral